RNAcentral lists this ribosomal RNA (433 nucleotides) under uncultured bacterium. Its description in RNAcentral is "partial 16S ribosomal RNA". It matches the Rfam family "Bacterial small subunit ribosomal RNA", at positions 29 to 507 of the family's 1533-position model. The record is from RNAcentral.
AACGAACGCUGGCGGCAUGCCUAACACAUGCCAGUCGAACGAGACCUUCGGGUCUAGUGGCGCACGGGUGCGUAACGCGUGGGAACCUGCCCUUAGGUUCGGAAUAACUCCCCGAAAGGGGUGCUAAUACCGGAUAAUGUCUUCGGACCAAAGAUUUAUCGCCUUUGGAUGGGCCCGAGUUGGAUUAGCUAGUUGGUAGGGUAAAAGCCUACCAAGGCGACGAUCCAUAGCUGGUCUGAGAGGAUGAUCAGCCACACUGGGACUGAGACACGGCCCAGACUCCUACGGGAGGCAGCAGUGGGGAAUAUUGGACAAUGGGCGAAAGCCUGAUCCAGCAAUGCCGCGUGAGUGAUGAAGGCCUUAGGGUUGUAAAGCUCUUUUACCCGGGAUGAUAAUGACAGUACCGGGAGAAUAAGCUCCGGCUAACUCCGUG